Molecule: long non-coding RNA, 754 nt
Organism: Peromyscus eremicus (cactus mouse)
Lineage: Eukaryota; Metazoa; Chordata; Mammalia; Rodentia; Cricetidae
Exons: 3
Source: RefSeq, a predicted model, not a curated record
CAGUUUGGACGGUGUCGGGUCGUCAGGAACUGCGCCCCGUCCACGAGCCCCCAAGGCCUAGGAGACGGGGUUGACGGGAUCCCAGCCGGUCGCCGGCCAGCCCGCAGCCCCGGAGCCUCAACCCUCACCGGCUGCCACGGACGACGCGGAGACCGGCGUCCAGGCUCUCCCACCCGGGACCCCGCCCCCCGCGAGCUGUACCUGCAGCGGUGACAACUCCAUGGUGACGGUCCUGAACCGGGCGCGAGAAUCCCGAAAGCGACUGUAACCAGUGGGAAACGGGAGGGCACCCGCGACCAGGACGCUCCGCCACAGACGCGCGUCGGUUAGGACAGCCUUCCUAAGUUUCUUUCGAACCUUCGCCUAGCCCGCCCAAAUCAGAGGAGCCUAUCACCGAACCGCUCUCAUUAGCUCUGUUUAGAGGAGCCAAUCAUAGACGGUCUUUUAUUCACACCCAUUGAACAGGCGGCCUGUUCGAAUGAACCAAUCAGGCAGCUGUAGAGAGACCGAAAGCGGAAAGAGAGACUUGGUCUGACGGUACUCAGAAACCAUGUUUAUUCACGAUGAGGGAGCAUCUGGGAAUGACGGGACCUGAAGGCAUCGCACACAAAGUGAAUUCCAGAGCAGCAGCAAGAGGUUAAGGAAGUCCUGAAGGCUCCCUGUCUCCAUCUUCAGUAUGGGGGCACUCCUGGAGAGGAAGCAUCAUUUCUUCCCUGUAGUGGACUGAUGGAGUGGGGAUUCUGGAUCUCUCUGU